Molecule: ribosomal RNA, 251 nt
Filed under: uncultured bacterium
Lineage: Bacteria
Description: partial small subunit ribosomal RNA
Rfam family: Bacterial small subunit ribosomal RNA
Source: RNAcentral
AGGACGAACGCUGGCGGCGUGCUUAACACAUGCAAGUCGAGCGGAAAGGCCCUUCGGGUACUCGAGCGGCGAACGGGUGAGUAACACGUGAGCAACCUGCCCUUAGCUCCGGGAUAGCUCCGGGAAACCGGAAUUAAUACCGGAUACGACCACGGCCGACAUCUGCUGUGGUGGAAAGGAUUCCGGCUAAGGAUGGGCUCGCGGCCUAUCAGCUAGUUGGUGAGUAACGGCCCACAAGGCGACGACGGGUA